GUUAAUGUAGCUUACCAUAAAGCACAGCACUGAAGAUGCUGAGACGAACAAUAAAUAUGUUCCAAUAACA
RNAcentral lists this transfer RNA (70 nucleotides) under Megophrys omeimontis (Mount Omei spadefoot toad). RNAcentral describes it as "Xenophrys omeimontis (Mount Omei spadefoot toad) tRNA-Phe". It matches the Rfam family "tRNA". From Rfam's summary of the family: Transfer RNA (tRNA) molecules are approximately 80 nucleotides in length. Lineage: Eukaryota; Metazoa; Chordata; Amphibia; Anura; Megophryidae. The record is from RNAcentral.